AAAGUUCUCCCUCCGUCCCAAAAUUCUUGUCUUAGAUUUGUCUAGAUACGGAUGUAUCAAGUCACAUUUUAGUAUUAGAUACAUCCGUAUCUAGACAAAUCUAAGACAAGAAAUUUGGGACAGAGGGAGUAGUUG
Molecule: non-coding RNA, 135 nt
Organism: Triticum aestivum (bread wheat)
Lineage: Eukaryota; Viridiplantae; Streptophyta; Magnoliopsida; Poales; Poaceae
Source: Rfam